CUGCAGCCCGGCCUGAGUGGAAAUCCUUUUUUGUGGCUGGAAAAGCUUUGGCAAAAAGAUUGGGAACGGAGGACGGAUAAAGC
RNAcentral lists this unclassified non-coding RNA (83 nucleotides) under Epilithonimonas lactis. Its description in RNAcentral is "Chryseobacterium halperniae Flavo-1 RNA". The record is from RNAcentral. Lineage: Bacteria; Pseudomonadati; Bacteroidota; Flavobacteriia; Flavobacteriales; Weeksellaceae.